GACGAACGCUGGCGGCGUGCUUAACACAUGCAAGUCGAACGGAAAGGCCCUGCUUUUGUGGGGUGCUCGAGUGGCGAACGGGUGGGUAACACGUGAGUAACCUGCCCUUGACUUUGGGAUAACUUCAGGAAACUGGGGCUAAUACCGGAUAGGAGCUCCUGCUGCAUGGUGGGGGUUGGAAAGUUUCGGCGGUUGGGGAUGGACUCGCGGCUUAUCAGCUUGUUGGUGGGGUAGUGGCUUACCAAGGCUUUGUCGGGUAGCCGGCCUGAGAGGGUGACCGGCCACAUUGGGACUGAGAUACGGCCCAGACUCCUACGGGAGGCAGCAGUGGGGAAUAUUGCACAAUGGGCGGAAGCCUGAUGCAGCAACGCCGCGUGCGGGAUGACGGCCUUCGGGUGGUAAACCGCUUUCGCCUGUGACGAAGCGUGAGUGACGGUAAUGGGUAAAGAAGCACCGGCUAACUACGU
This 467-nucleotide ribosomal RNA is filed under the name uncultured bacterium. Its description in RNAcentral is "partial 16S ribosomal RNA". It matches the Rfam family "Bacterial small subunit ribosomal RNA", at positions 28 to 506 of the family's 1533-position model. The record is from RNAcentral.